UCUGAUGUGGACAGAGAUAUGGCUACCGAGUCCUGGGGAUCGUUCGCCAGCCGUUGUCCAGCACACAUGGACUUCAGUAUCUGGAAGACGGCCAGAGGAGCCACGUUCAGAUUCAGCAAGUCCACCAGGAUCCUGGGAAAAUAAAUGUGGUGCUUAGCGAAACCUGAGAGCCUCAGAGCAUUCCAGUUCCAUGUGUUUGGCCAGCUGGGCCACCGCCAUGGAAACUCGUACAGAGACCGGGAGUUUUCAGAGUAGCGGAUCGGGGCUGUCGGGGUCCUGAGGCAGGCUCAUCUGCAGGGAGUGUGAGCUCGAAGCCCUGACCCUUGCCUUCUCACUUGAAAACAUCCGGGUCGAUGAUGGUGCCAGCAGCCUGUGCAAGUUCGUACAGCUCCAUUUCCUCGGCUUCCAGCGCCUUCUUCCGCCGAAGCGACAACUUUUGCAGCGUCGCCGCCUCCAGCCCUGUGGAUGUGCCCAGUCCGGCACCACCACCCGCUGCCGCCAUCAGCGCAGCUUGAAAAAAAGCAUCUUGUGGUGGUGCCAUUCUCCUCCUGAUAAGGUAGAGGAAAUAUCAUGGAAGGAUCUCAGUAAUGCCAAUUUAUCACCAGAGUUCAGACAAAUAGGUUCAAGGUGGUAUGUCUCCACCCUGGUGAGCAUUGUGUUCCUGAGCCACAUGGCAGAGAACAACUUUGAAAACUACUGGAACAAAGAGAUUUUUUUGAGUUCCUGUCCCAAAAUGAUAUCCUGUACCAGAGAAAAAUUUCCAUCCUUGGGCGAAUAGAACAUCAGCAAAAGAUCCACUCCAUCAGGAAGCCUGCACGUCACCUCAUCCUCCUUCCCUUUCCUUUAAGGAGGAGAUGCCGUGAGCUGACUCUACCAGAGUUCAUGGCAUCAGCAAAAGGCAACAAAGUGCAGGAGGUAAAUGAAAAAGGUACCAAGGGCUUCUCUAGGUCCAGCUCAUCUGACUUAUACAUCAGAUAUUAACUCACCUGUGAAUUCUGCUGCACAGGGUGAUUGUUUGAAGGCAUUAAGCAAGUCUGAGGAGACAGAAAAUGCUGCCCCAUUUGGUGACACAUGUAAGGGGACACGUGGAGGCUGAGAUGGACAAGACUGGCAGCACUGUCACUUUUAUCCUCACAGCUCUGGAUGUCUUAGGGUUCUCGGAGGAUACCGACUACCAAAAGGACCAGAGGAUGUUACUGACAUUAGAGAGAACAACAUCACCAUUGCAGAACAUUAUCAGCCAGAUUGCGUGGGAUCACAUAUAUAAUGUGUCCCCUCCCCGUCAUGGAAACAACCAACAUGAAAUAGUCAAAGACAUGCUUCAGCAUCUGCAAAUGAGCAGCCCCAGGAGGCACCCAGAGACUCCAAGAAGCACAGCAGAAGGGACUGGAAGGAGCAAGGAGGCAGAUUAGGAACCUGUUUAGAAGGUUUUGUUGCUGUUUUCCCAUCCCAAGGACAAAAGACACAGCAUCCAGGGUUAAAGAUGAGCCCAGGCCCAUGGUUCCUAAACCAUUGGUCUGUGUUCGGCCUGGUGUGACUUAACAGCCCUGGAGGAGCCAGGCCAGAACUUCAAAGGAGGUGUACCCCAAACCUGUUGUUACCUGCCAGACACCUCCAGCAACCAGGUCGCCUUCUCUGUACCCUCCUCUCCUGCAGAGUAUGAGCAACCAUGUCCCCACUGUUUGAAGAGCAUUGUUCCUCCAGCACUAGUGACUGGACAGAGAAGCCAGCCACAUAACCACCUUGUUAUGACGAGGCAGCCAUCCCUCCUCUGUAGUCCACGUGACAGAAGGUCCACAACCAAGAAGGAGAGGAGCGGAAUUCCCCUGAAGAGGAGGUUAGGAGCGAAUGGUGCAUGGGUACCCUGAGAAGACGACCCUAUCUUCCUCAUGGGUUCCAGCUUGCUCCAAGCUGCAGCAGCCUCCUUCCUUCAAACCCCAAGGUGCUGUUGUCCCAUCCAAGGAGUAUUCACACAGAUAAAUUUCAUGUCCCCGUGGGGGAUUCCUUGGCUUUAAUUGAGCGAAGGUCUACGAUCGUUCUGUCUGCUGUGAAUGGAGGCUGCUAGCCUUGGUCACUAGGAAUGAGGACCUCCGUGCAAGCUCAGCAAUUUCUCUGGAAAAGAGUUCCUGAACCAUACCUGUAGCCAAGACCAAGCUGCUUUGACAGUCUACACUGCUCCACCUUGUGGCGAUGAUGACACAGUGGGUUCUCAUAAUGAGGACUGGACUCCCUGAAACCUUUCCCAGCUGCUCCCGGGCCCAGGAGACAGGAACAAGGUGCAGAAAGACACAAAAUGCUUUCUCUUCCAGCAUCUGCUUACUGAAUUGGCCUUUUCUUGCAUUGUUUGUUUGUUUGUUUCUAGUUCAUGGCUAUGACAAUACUAUGACCCAGACAACUUACAAGGGAAAGCGUGUUAUGUAUGGUCGUCAUUUCUAAAGGCUUAGAAUAUGUGACCGUUCUAGGAAAGGCAAUGUAGCAAUAGUCAGGCUGUCAUUUUGUUAGAGCAGUCACUGAUAGUUUACAUCUGGUUCUCACGCAUAGUCUGAGAGAGAGACAGACAGACAGAUAGAGAUGGAUUUGUAGAGAGAGAGCUUACUUGGAAUGGUUUUGGCUUUUGAAUCCUUAAUGCUUUGUAACUCCCUAGUGACACACCUCUUCCAACCAACCUUCUGGUCCUUCCCAAUCUGUGGGCUAAGUAUCCAAACAUAUGCAACCCUGGGGUCCAUUCUCAUUCAAAAUAAUACCGCGAAUUAUCUAAGCACUUCACAAGGGCCCUUGGGGUAACAGUACACUGUGUUCUGACUGGUGAAAUCGCCCCCUAUGCUCUGACGGCAUUUUCAGGGUGCAGAAGUGUCGCUGUGUCUCUCUUCCCCAGCAGGUGUUCUAGGAAACAUCCUCAAUGUUUUCCAGCCUCGUCCCUCGUGAUCAUCUCAGGAAGAUGUGAGAAGAGACGAUUGCGAUCCAUUUCUUUCCCUCAGAAACUUUUUGGGGGAAGCUGCAUUCACACCGGCCCCAUGUUUGGCUCCCUAAACCCAUGUUGGAUGUCUUACGACCACCACACAAGAUGUGUCUCCUGAAGAGCAUUAUUGAGUGUCUGGAAUCUGAAGAACAGCAGAUGAGCUCUCUUGACUGUCUGGCUGGGAGGGACACAGCCCAACAGCCCUUGGCUUCUUGUGGGAGACUUGACCACAAUACGUCAGAGCUAUGGACCCCGUGCAUGCGUGACAGCCCUGGCAUCCAAACAUAGGUCACUUAAGGAAACUUUAACAGUGUAAUUAUCUCUAUAAUUAAACAAGAUUUCUACAGGCCUGGUGUGGAAAUUAUUUUAUUAAA
This is a long non-coding RNA of Chionomys nivalis (European snow vole), 3333 nucleotides long. RefSeq lists it as uncharacterized. NCBI's taxonomy places the organism in Eukaryota, Metazoa, Chordata, Mammalia, Rodentia, Cricetidae. The transcript is spliced from 7 exons. The record is from RefSeq and is a predicted model, not a curated record.